This is a long non-coding RNA of Lycium barbarum (goji berry), 1929 nucleotides long. RefSeq lists it as uncharacterized. NCBI's taxonomy places the organism in Eukaryota, Viridiplantae, Streptophyta, Magnoliopsida, Solanales, Solanaceae. The transcript has 2 exons. The record is from RefSeq and is a predicted model, not a curated record.
AUUACGUGAUAUUUUAUUCCAAUAUUGUUAUCCUUGUCCCUCCGAUCUUAGAGUCCAUAUGAGGCCCACGUCUACGAAUAGGCAGGCUUUUUUCUUCUUAAAUUUCACGUAGUUCCAGCAUUGGAUAUUUCUAGGAUAUGAAACAUUUUAUUUAUAAAGAAAAAUUACACGAUGUUAGGUAGGGCAUCCACUAUAUACCUUGUGGAGCCAAAGAGGAGAGCUAUGUGUGUGUUUGACACUAAUACGGAGAGAUCAUGUAUUCACGUGCCCCAAUUUUUACACCUAAAAUCUCCCCUACAGCAGUCAGCAGUUAUGCAUGUCUUCACUGUGUAUUAGGAUUAUUCCUCAGAGCAAGCAACAAAGCUCAGUCCUUGUAAUGGUCCAAGUUGUGCAGUACUGAUACAGUUUGAUUCUCAUAAUCCAAAUUGUUUUCCUAGCUCUAUUGUUGCUUUCCCUACAUUUAGGCAUAUUGUUGUUGACUAGAUGUCAUAAACUAUGUUAGUUACGUGGCUUCACUUUCGGUGUCACUAGAUCUCUUCAUGUGAAGAAGUGCAGAAGCUCACCCUUACUUCAGAGCUAAUGGAUGUUCCACAUUUGCUUGUUGCAAAUACUAUUACACACAUUAGGUGUUGUUCAACUAUUAAUUCCAAUUGUAUGUCUUGUUUCUUCCUAUACUUUAUCAUAUUCCAGCAUACGACUAUGACCAGGAUUCUUCACUAUUUCAAAUAUAACAAAGUUCUAACUGCUGCUGACACUGAUUUUUCUUCCUUCUGGGGAAUAUGGAAACCCGGCCUGUUACUUUCAGCUGGGAUAACCCAAUUCUAGUUGCUUGGGGAAUAUCAGAUAAGUAUCUCCCAAAAUCAGUUGCGGAAGAAUUUCAGAGGGGAAAUCCUAGAUCUGUCGAGCUUAAGCUGAUUGAAGGUGCUGGCCAUAUGCCGCAAGAAGACUGGCCUGAGAAAGUAGUUGAUGCUCUUAGAAUGUUUCUCCGAGUUUGAGAACACGACCUUUAACCGUGGAUUCUCAACUACUCCAGACGGUAUUCCACUUGCAUCAGUGCACUACUAAAAAAAACAGGGUUUUUUGACCAAAUAAUUUCGAUCUCAUUUUUUGGUCGAAAAAAAAUCGACCUGGUCGAAUUUUCAGAUUUUUUUUUUUUUUUUUGGAUUUCGACCUCACUUGGUCGAUAUUUAAACGGAAAAUAAAAUUUCGACCGCAUGAGGUUGAAACUUAUUUUUGUACAAAUAAUAAAUAAAUAAAACAUUUUAAAAAUUUUAAUUAUAUAAAUAAAACAAUUAAUUAAAAAAAGAGAGCAUAUUUCGACUGCAUGCGGUUGAAAAUUAAGUCAAAUUUGAUCAAAUCUGACUUAAUUAUUUCGACCGCACGCGGUCAAAAAAAUAAAUUUGAAAAAUUUAAUAUACUCCCCCCCCCCCCCCCCCCAACAUCAAUCGUGCAAUUCUCACCCCAAAAUAUACCAAAACCUAAUUUUAUCCCAAAACUCCCACCCCCACCACACCCCUCGCCCGCCGCCGACGCCCCAUCCCCACCACACCCCUCCCCGCCGCCGACGCCUCAUCCCCACCACUGCCUGUCCUCCGUCGCCGCCCUUUCUGUCCGCCAGGUACCUUCUUUAAUUGUUUAUUUUUUGCAUCUUUUAUGAUAUGUGUGGUAGUUCUAAUUUCUUGGUCCUUCAACUUUUUUAGAGGGGGAACCACAGAAGCAAGUUGACUAGUGAUGUAGCUGGGGAGCUUAGUGAUACAUCUGUAAGUUGUGAGGAAACUAGAUCCAUUCUCAGGCUAUUGCAUUUUCUCCAUCUGUAAGUUGUGAUGAAAACUAAGAAGCUUUUUUAGAUGGAUGAAAAAUGAUAUUAACCUUUUCUUUUAUUUAUGUACAACUUCAAGUUUAAUGUAGACAAUUAGUCAAUUACACAUA